RNAcentral lists this ribosomal RNA (465 nucleotides) under Vreelandella stevensii. Its description in RNAcentral is "partial 16S ribosomal RNA". It matches the Rfam family "Bacterial small subunit ribosomal RNA", at positions 338 to 795 of the family's 1533-position model. Lineage: Bacteria; Pseudomonadati; Pseudomonadota; Gammaproteobacteria; Oceanospirillales; Halomonadaceae. The record is from RNAcentral.
CCUACGGGGGGCAGCAGUGGGGAAUAUUGGACAAUGGGCGAAAGCCUGAUCCAGCCAUGCCGCGUGUGUGAAAAAGGCCUUCGGGUUGUAAAGCACUUUCAGUGGGGAAGAAAGCCUUGGGGCUAAUACCCUCGAGGAAGGACAUCACCCACAGAAGAAGCACCGGCUAACUCCGUGCCAGCAGCCGCGGUAAUACGGAGGGUGCGAGCGUUAAUCGGAAUUACUGGGCGUAAAGCGCGCGUAGGCGGUCUGAUAAGCCGGUUGUGAAAGCCCCGGGCUCAACCUGGGAACGGCAUCCGGAACUGUCAGGCUAGAGUGCAGGAGAGGAAGGUAGAAUUCCCGGUGUAGCGGUGAAAUGCGUAGAGAUCGGGAGGAAUACCAGUGGCGAAGGCGGCCUUCUGGACUGACACUGACGCUGAGGUGCGAAAGCGUGGGUAGCAAACAGGAUUAGAUACCCGAGUAGUC